RNAcentral lists this ribosomal RNA (2925 nucleotides) under Escherichia coli. RNAcentral's name for it is "23S ribosomal RNA". It matches the Rfam family "Bacterial large subunit ribosomal RNA". The record is from RNAcentral. Lineage: Bacteria; Pseudomonadati; Pseudomonadota; Gammaproteobacteria; Enterobacterales; Enterobacteriaceae.
GGGUUGUGAGGUUAAGCGACUAAGCGUACACGGUGGAUGCCCUGGCAGUCAGAGGCGAUGAAGGACGUGCUAAUCUGCGAUAAGCGUCGGUAAGGUGAUAUGAACCGUUAUAACCGGCGAUUUCCGAAUGGGGAAACCCAGUGUGAUUCGUCACACUAUCAUUAACUGAAUCCAUAGGUUAAUGAGGCGAACCGGGGGAACUGAAACAUCUAAGUACCCCGAGGAAAAGAAAUCAACCGAGAUUCCCCCAGUAGCGGCGAGCGAACGGGGAGGAGCCCAGAGCCUGAAUCAGUGUGUGUGUUAGUGGAAGCGUCUGGAAAGGCGCGCGAUACAGGGUGACAGCCCCGUACACAAAAAUGCACAURCUGUGAGCUCGAUGAGUAGGGCGGGACACGUGGUAUCCUGUCUGAAUAUGGGGGGACCAUCCUCCAAGGCUAAAUACUCCUGACUGACCGAUAGUGAACCAGUACCGUGAGGGAAAGGCGAAAAGAACCCCGGCGAGGGGAGUGAAAAAGAACCUGAAACCGUGUACGUACAAGCAGUGGGAGCCUCUUUAUGGGGUGACUGCGUACCUUUUGUAUAAUGGGUCAGCGACUUAUAUUCUGUAGCAAGGUUAACCGAAUAGGGGAGCCGAAGGGAAACCGAGUCUUAACUGGGCGUUAAGUUGCAGGGUAUAGACCCGAAACCCGGUGAUCUAGCCAUGGGCAGGUUGAAGGUUGGGUAACACUAACUGGAGGACCGAACCGACUAAUGUUGAAAAAUUAGCGGAUGACUUGUGGCUGGGGGUGAAAGGCCAAUCAAACCGGGAGAUAGCUGGUUCUCCCCGAAAGCUAUUUAGGUAGCGCCUCGUGAAUUCAUCUCCGGGGGUAGAGCACUGUUUCGGCAAGGGGGUCAUCCCGACUUACCAACCCGAUGCAAACUGCGAAUACCGGAGAAUGUUAUCACGGGAGACACACGGCGGGUGCUAACGUCCGUCGUGAAGAGGGAAACAACCCAGACCGCCAGCUAAGGUCCCAAAGUCAUGGUUAAGUGGGAAACGAUGUGGGAAGGCCCAGACAGCCAGGAUGUUGGCUUAGAAGCAGCCAUCAUUUAAAGAAAGCGUAAUAGCUCACUGGUCGAGUCGGCCUGCGCGGAAGAUGUAACGGGGCUAAACCAUGCACCGAAGCUGCGGCAGCGACACUAUGUGUUGUUGGGUAGGGGAGCGUUCUGUAAGCCUGUGAAGGUGKCCUGUGAGGSWUGCUGGAGGUAUCAGAAGUGCGAAUGCUGACAUAAGUAACGAUAAAGCGGGUGAAAAGCCCGCUCGCCGGAAGACCAAGGGUUCCUGUCCAACGUUAAUCGGGGCAGGGUGAGUCGACCCCUAAGGCGAGGCCGAAAGGCGUAGUCGAUGGGAAACAGGUUAAUAUUCCUGUACUUGGUGUUACUGCGAAGGGGGGACGGAGAAGGCUAUGUUGGCCGGGCGACGGUUGUCCCGGUUUAAGCGUGUAGGCUGAUUUUCCAGGCAAAUCCGGAAAAUCAAGGCUGAGGCGUGAUGACGAGGCACUACGGUGCUGAAGCAACAAAUGCCCUGCUUCCAGGAAAAGCCUCUAAGCAUCAGGUAACAUCAAAUCGUACCCCAAACCGACACAGGUGGUCAGGUAGAGAAUACCAAGGCGCUUGAGAGAACUCGGGUGAAGGAACUAGGCAAAAUGGUGCCGUAACUUCGGGAGAAGGCACGCUGAUAUGUAGGUGAAGCGACUUGCUCGUGGAGCUGAAAUCAGUCGAAGAUACCAGCUGGCUGCAACUGUUUAUUAAAAACACAGCACUGUGCAAACACGAAAGUGGACGUAUACGGUGUGACGCCUGCCCGGUGCCGGAAGGUUAAUUGAUGGGGUUAGCGGUAACGCGAAGCUCUUGAUCGAAGCCCCGGUAAACGGCGGCCGUAACUAUAACGGUCCUAAGGUAGCGAAAUUCCUUGUCGGGUAAGUUCCGACCUGCACGAAUGGCGUAAUGAUGGCCAGGCUGUCUCCACCCGAGACUCAGUGAAAUUGAACUCGCUGUGAAGAUGCAGUGUACCCGCGGCAAGACGGAAAGACCCCGUGAACCUUUACUAUAGCUUGACACUGAACAUUGAGCCUUGAUGUGUAGGAUAGGUGGGAGGCUUUGAAGUGUGGACGCCAGUCUGCAUGGAGCCGACCUUGAAAUACCACCCUUUAAUGUUUGAUGUUCUAACGUUGRCCCGUKAUCCGGGUUGCGGACAGUGUCUGGUGGGUAGUUUGACUGGGGCGGUCUCCUCCUAAAGAGUAACGGAGGAGCACGAAGGUUGGCUAAUCCUGGUCGGACAUCAGGAGGUUAGUGCAAUGGCAUAAGCCAGCUUGACUGCGAGCGUGACGGCGCGAGCAGGUGCGAAAGCAGGUCAUAGUGAUCCGGUGGUUCUGAAUGGAAGGGCCAUCGCUCAACGGAUAAAAGGUACUCCGGGGAUAACAGGCUGAUACCGCCCAAGAGUUCAUAUCGACGGCGGUGUUUGGCACCUCGAUGUCGGCUCAUCACAUCCUGGGGCUGAAGUAGGUCCCAAGGGUAUGGCUGUUCGCCAUUUAAAGUGGUACGCGAGCUGGGUUUAGAACGUCGUGAGACAGUUCGGUCCCUAUCUGCCGUGGGCGCUGGAGAACUGAGGGGGGCUGCUCCUAGUACGAGAGGACCGGAGUGGACGCAUCACUGGUGUUCGGGUUGUCAUGCCAAUGGCACUGCCCGGUAGCUAAAUGCGGAAGAGAUAAGUGCUGAAAGCAUCUAAGCACGAAACUUGCCCCGAGAUGAGUUCUCCCUGACUCCYUGAGAGUCCUGAAGGAACGUUGAAGACGACGACGUUGAUAGGCCGGGUGUGUAAGCGCAGCGAUGCGUUGAGCUAACCGGUACUAAUGAACCGUGAGGCUUAACCUUACAACGCCGAAG